This 2212-nucleotide long non-coding RNA is filed under the name Toxoplasma gondii VEG. Lineage: Eukaryota; Apicomplexa; Conoidasida; Eucoccidiorida; Sarcocystidae. The record is from RNAcentral.
CGACGCGGUUGCAUGCAUCGAGGAGAAUGCGGCACUGCUUCAUCUGGUCACAGAGUUUCUCGCGGUCGUCGGAGACCAAGAGCGCUGCGGCGUUGAAGACUUGUUCAUCUUCGAGACUCUUUUCAGAAGACUCUUCCGAGAGCCGGCUUCUGUCUUCCAGCGCCGCAGCCUCCGCGUUCAACUGAAUGCAGGCGAAAAGAUGCAGGAAAGAAAACGCGCCAAGCGCUGUCUCGGAAGGCAAAGAGGGAGAGCAAGAGGGGCGCUCGCCUUCUUUUUUUUGCGUGGACAGAGAGACUCGACGACAUCGAGGAGAAACAGCUGGCUGGCAGUCGACCAGCGAAAAAAGCGCGCGUGGGCACUCCCAAAUGAAGCAGAGAAAGGAAGGAAAAGGCGAUGCCAUCCAGCGGUGUCGAUCGAAGGGAGCAGCGGGAAGCUGUUCUCGGCGACUUCUCGCCACAGCAGUUUUUUCUUUUUCUUUCUUCUUCAAACGAACGACUGUCCAAGCUUCUUCUCAGCAGAGCAGGCCGGCCGCAAAGACUCCUCUGUCUCUGCAGACUCCUGCAGGAGAACAAGUUUUCGCAGUUUGCCUGUCUCACACGAUGCCUCACCUUGUUAACUGCAGCCAGAAGCAGCUGUUGAAUCUGCGUGUUCGCUGCGAUGAUCUGCCAAGCACCCGCACAGACGCCAGGGAAAAAAAGACACCACCGGCAGAGAUCAGAUGGAAACUCAACAACAGAGCGUCUGGAGGCAAGCGCAGGGAGAGUCUGAGGCAUUGCAAAUGGAUGCACCUGCUUCGCCGCUUUCUGAUGCUGAGAAUCGAGUUCAAUGAGCGUCAGAACUCCUUCAUCGUCGAUGGGAGUAGGGUCGAUGAUUCGCUUGCACUCGGUGCCGUCGGUGGUCGCCAUGGUGCGGUGUAUGUACAGUCGAGCUUGCUGGAAAGAAGUCGCGAGGCCGUUUCCGCGAGACACCUCAGCGAAUCGCCGCCGGAGAAUUCCAGAACUUCGAGAAGAGCGUGCACAGCAGAUCUCACGUUUCAGAAAGGGGAGCGAAAGGGCAGAAAAGAGGGGAGAAAACGCCUGGCCUUCGCCGGGCACCAGCCGGAGGUCUGAGUCAGUGCGAGGAAACGGCUCUUUCGAUCCAGAAAAACAAAGCAGACUGAGAAAUGUUUCCGCUGAAAGUCAACGUGUGUCCUUGGUGCGGCGCCUUGAGACUACAAAACUCGGCAAAGACCACAACUUCUCGGAGAAGCGUUCACCCUUCGCGGUCGUGCUUCAGACUCUUUGCUCCGAACCUCAGCUCUCCCCAGUCUGCUUCUUUCCUCUUCGCCCCGACAAAGAGAGACGCCCUAAUGUCUGCGGCAAAACACAGAGGCGCAUCAAACGCCAAGGUCUGAAACAGGUCGCUGCUUCGAGGGGAUUUUUCCCGGUUGUCUUCGGGUGUACAGACAGCUGCUCCUCACAGGGCGCGGGAGCAAGGCGAAUCGGUUUCGAGGGUCACAGACAAAGACGCAACGCAGAGACGAGAAAGUGUUUCAACGUUGGAAGAGUCUGCAUGUGACCUUGCGGCUCUUGAUUCCCGGAGAAAAGGGAGGUUGAGGACUGGCGAUUUUUCAAGGCGAGCUGCGGGAGUCGCGCGCCGCUCCUUCAAACCCUCGACAUGUUCUCCAGGUCUGCAAAUGCCCGUCUCAUCGAAGAGAGAAACACGUGCAGAUCUCAUACGAAACACGAUUUCAGUCAUCGACUCUCCACAGUUUUCUAAUAACUCAGGAAAAAGAGACUGGCUGCAAAGCCCUCUCCCGUUUUCACGCAGCGGGACGCGGUGCACAGAUACGGAGGCAUAUCACGGCACUGGAAGUCCUUCUUUCAGGAAACAAGAUGUUUCUUUGUCUACCCAGAGAAGAACUGGUUGAUAGAAUCUCUACACACCCAUUUUUCUCGGGGAAGCGACUGGAGAAGUACAGCGCUACGGAACACGCACGCCGAAGCAUUGGCAUGCAGAGUCAGUCGAAGAAGUGACUCUGCGGCAAAUGUGCCUGUUUUCUGUUGAGUUUUUUUUUGGAACACUGGAAGCUUUGCUUCUCCACCUCUCUGCAGAGGAACUGGUCCUCUGUUUCUCUUCUAUUCCGUUCGGGUCGUCAAACGCACAAUCGCUUCCGUGUUUCUCGGAUACACACACCACUGCUGACCUGCAGAUGACGACCUGCCGUAAAAAC